This 523-nucleotide ribosomal RNA is filed under the name uncultured eubacterium WR184. RNAcentral's name for it is "bacterial SSU rRNA". It matches the Rfam family "Bacterial small subunit ribosomal RNA", at positions 9 to 527 of the family's 1533-position model. The record is from RNAcentral.
GAGUUUGAUCAUGGCUCAGAUUGAACGCUGGCGGCAUGCCUUACACAUGCAAGUCGAACGGCAGCACGGGGGCAACCCUGGUGGCGAGUGGCGAACGGGUGAGUAAUACAUCGGAACGUGUCCUGUAGUGGGGGAUAGCCCGGCGAAAGCCGGAUUAAUACCGCAUACGAUCUACGGAAGAAAGCGGGGGAUCGCAAGACCUCGCGCUAUAGGGGCGGCCGAUGGCAGAUUAGCUAGUUGGUGGGGUAAAGGCCUACCAAGGCGACGAUCUGUAGCUGGUCUGAGAGGACGACCAGCCACACUGGGACUGAGACACGGCCCAGACUCCUACGGGAGGCAGCAGUGGGGAAUUUUGGACAAUGGGGGAAACCCUGAUCCAGCAAUGCCGCGUGUGUGAAGAAGGCCUUCGGGUUGUAAAGCACUUUUGUCCGGAAAGAAAACUUCCUGGUUAAUACCUGGGGAGGAUGACGGUACCGGAAGAAUAAGCACCGGCUAACUACGUGCCAGCAGCCGCGGUAAUACG